GUGGAUUAGAUACCCUGGUAGUCCUAGCCCUAAACGAUGCUCAUUAGAUGUGGGAGGUAUCGACCCCUUCCGCGUCGCAGCUAACGCAUUAAAUGAGCCGCCUGGGGAGUACGGCCGCAAGGUUGAAACUCAAAGGAAUUGACGGGGGCCCGCACAAGCGGUGGAACAUGUGGUUUAAUUCGACGCAACGCGAAGAACCUUACCUGGGCUUGAACUACUCGUGGUAGGUCGCUGGAAACAGUGGCCGACCCGCAAGGGAGCGAGCAGAGGUGCUGCAUGUCUGUCGUCAGCU
Molecule: ribosomal RNA, 292 nt
Filed under: uncultured bacterium
Lineage: Bacteria
Description: partial 16S ribosomal RNA
Rfam family: Bacterial small subunit ribosomal RNA
Source: RNAcentral